GACGAACGCUGGCGGCGUGCUUAACACAUGCAAGUCGAACGGAAAGGCCCUGCUUUUGUGGGGUGCUCGAGUGGCGAACGGGUGAGUAACACGUGAGUAACCUGCCCCUGACUUUGGGAUAACUUCAGGAAACUGGGGCUCAUACCGGAUAGGAGCUCCUGCUGCAUGGUGGGGGUUGGUAAGUUUCGGCGGUUGGGGAUGGACUCGCGGCUUAUCAGCUUGUUGGUGGGGUAGUGGCUUACCAAGGCUUUGACGGGUAGCCGGCCUGAGAGGGUGACCGGCCACAUUGGGACUGAGAUACGGCCCAGACUCCUACGGGACGCAGCAGUGGGGAAGAUUGCACAAUGGGCGGAAGCCUGAUGCAGCAACGCCGCGUGCGGGAUGACGGCCUUCGGGUUGUAAACCGCUUUCGCCUGUGACGAAGCGCGAGUGACGGUAAUGGGUAAAGAAGCACCGGCUAACUACGUG
RNAcentral lists this ribosomal RNA (468 nucleotides) under uncultured bacterium. RNAcentral's name for it is "partial 16S ribosomal RNA". It matches the Rfam family "Bacterial small subunit ribosomal RNA", at positions 28 to 507 of the family's 1533-position model. The record is from RNAcentral.